This 383-nucleotide ribosomal RNA is filed under the name uncultured Thiobacillus sp. RNAcentral describes it as "bacterial SSU rRNA". It matches the Rfam family "Bacterial small subunit ribosomal RNA", at positions 993 to 1382 of the family's 1533-position model. Lineage: Bacteria; Pseudomonadati; Pseudomonadota; Betaproteobacteria; Nitrosomonadales; Thiobacillaceae. The record is from RNAcentral.
GAAUCCUGCAGAGAUGCGGAGUGACCGAAGGGAAUUGGAACACAGGUGCUGCAUGGCUGUCGUCAGCUCGUGUCGUGAGAUGUUGGGUUAAGUCCCGCAACGAGCGCAACCCUUAUCAUUAGUUGCUACGCAAGGGCACUCUAAUGAGACUGCCGGUGACAAACCGGAGGAAGGUGGGGAUGACGUCAAGUCCUCAUGGCCCUUAUGGGUAGGGCUUCACACGUCAUACAAUGGUCGGUACAGAGGGUUGCCAAGCCGCGAGGUGGAGCCAAUCCCAGAAAGCCGAUCGUAGUCCGGAUUGUUCUCUGCAACUCGAGAGCAUGAAGUCGGAAUCGCUAGUAAUCGCGGAUCAGCAUGUCGCGGUGAAUACGUUCCCGGGUCUU